Molecule: ribosomal RNA, 1126 nt
Filed under: Klebsiella pneumoniae
Lineage: Bacteria; Pseudomonadati; Pseudomonadota; Gammaproteobacteria; Enterobacterales; Enterobacteriaceae
Description: bacterial SSU rRNA
Rfam family: Bacterial small subunit ribosomal RNA
Source: RNAcentral
AGAGUUUGAUCAUGGCUCAGAUUGAACGCUGGCGGCAGGCCUAACACAUGCAAGUCGAGCGGUAGCACAGAGAGCUUGCUCUCGGGUGACGAGCGGCGGACGGGUGAGUAAUGUCUGGGAAACUGCCUGAUGGAGGGGGAUAACUACUGGAAACGGUAGCUAAUACCGCAUAACGUCGCAAGACCAAAGUGGGGGACCUUCGGGCCUCAUGCCAUCAGAUGUGCCCAGAUGGGAUUAGCUAGUAGGUGGGGUAACGGCUCACCUAGGCGACGAUCCCUAGCUGGUCUGAGAGGAUGACCAGCCACACUGGAACUGAGACACGGUCCAGACUCCUACGGGAGGCAGCAGUGGGGAAUAUUGCACAAUGGGCGCAAGCCUGAUGCAGCCAUGCCGCGUGUGUGAAGAAGGCCUUCGGGUUGUAAAGCACUUUCAGCGGGGAGGAAGGCGGUAAGGUUAAUAACCUUGGCGAUUGACGUUACCCGCAGAAGAAGCACCGGCUAACUCCGUGCCAGCAGCCGCGGUAAUACGGAGGGUGCAAGCGUUAAUCGGAAUUACUGGGCGUAAAGCGCACGCAGGCGGUCUGUCAAGUCGGAUGUGAAAUCCCCGGGCUCAACCUGGGAACUGCAUUCGAAACUGGCAGGCUAGAGUCUUGUAGAGGGGGGUAGAAUUCCAGGUGUAGCGGUGAAAUGCGUAGAGAUCUGGAGGAAUACCGGUGGCGAAGGCGGCCCCCUGGACAAAGACUGACGCUCAGGUGCGAAAGCGUGGGGAGCAAACAGGAUUAGAUACCCUGGUAGUCCACGCCGUAAACGAUGUCGAUUUGGAGGUUGUGCCCUUGAGGCGUGGCUUCCGGAGCUAACGCGUUAAAUCGACCGCCUGGGGAGUACGGCCGCAAGGUUAAAACUCAAAUGAAUUGACGGGGGCCCGCACAAGCGGUGGAGCAUGUGGUUUAAUUCGAUGCAACGCGAAGAACCUUACCUGGUCUUGACAUCCACAGAACUUUCCAGAGAUGGAUUGGUGCCUUCGGGAACUGUGAGACAGGUGCUGCAUGGCUGUCGUCAGCUCGUGUUGUGAAAUGUUGGGUUAAGUCCCGCAACGAGCGCAACCCUUAUCCUUUGUUGCCAGCGGU